GAAACCAACAGGGAUUGCCCUAGUAACGGCGAGUGAAGCGGCAACAGCUCAAAUUUGAAAUCUGGCUCUUUUAGAGUCCGAGUUGUAAUUUGCAGAGGGCGCUUUGGCGUUGGCAGCGGUCCAAGUUCUUUGGAACAGGACGUCACAGAGGGUGAGAAUCCCGUACGUGGUCGCUAUCCUUCGCCGUGUAAAGCCCCUUCGACGAGUCGAGUUGUUUGGGAAUGCAGCUCUAAAUGGGAGGUAAAUUUCUUCUAAAGCUAAAUACUGGCCAGAGACCGAUAGCGCACAAGUAGAGUGAUCGAAAGAUGAAAAGCACUUUGGAAAGAGAGUCAAAUAGCACGUGAAAUUGUUGAAAGGGAAGCGCUUGCAGCCAGACUUGCCUGUAGUUGCUUAUCUGGACUUUUGUCCAGUGCACUCUUCUAUAGGCAGGCCAGCAUCAGUUUGGGCGGUUAGAUAAAGGUCUCUGUCAUGUACCUCUCUUCGGGGAGGCCUUAUAGGGGAGACGACAUGUAACCAGCCUGGACUGAGGUCCGCGCAUCUGCUAGGAUGCUGGCGUAAUGGCUGUAAGCGGCCCGUCUUGAAACACGGACCAAGGAGUCUAACAUCUAUGCGAGUGUUUGGGUGUCAAGCCCAGACGCGUAAUGAAAGUGAACGGAGGUAGGAACCCUUUGGGUGCACUAUCGACCGAUCCUGAUGUCUUCGGAAGGAUUUGAGUAAGAGCAUGGCUGUUGGGACCCGAAAGAUGGUGAACUAUGCUUGAAUAGGGUGAAGCCAGAGGAAACUCUGGUGGAGGCUCGCAGCGGUUCUGACGUGCAAAUCGAUCGUCAAAUUUGGGCAUAGGGGCGAAAGACUAAUCGAA
Molecule: ribosomal RNA, 859 nt
Filed under: Ophiobolus disseminans
Lineage: Eukaryota; Fungi; Ascomycota; Dothideomycetes; Pleosporales; Phaeosphaeriaceae
Description: eukaryotic LSU rRNA
Rfam family: Eukaryotic large subunit ribosomal RNA
Source: RNAcentral